UGCAGUGGGAUGACAUGCAACUACUGAAGCUCCAUGCUGGAUUCACUAGUAAAUACUCAGCACUCAGUAAUGUUUAUUCAUCCUAUGCUCUGCCCUGAAUGCCAGUCUAGGACUCUCCAGUUUCUCACUAACACCCAGAGCCAUUUCAAUUCCCAGCAACAGCGAGAAUGGAAAGAAGCAGCAUUCAUUUCAGGUUGUGCAGAACUGCUGCGGAAACACUUGGCAGACAGCUGAGCGCACCCUACCCUGAAGAGAACCUCAUCCAAAGGCCUCCUUGGUGUACAUAUUGGACCAAACUAAGCAUUUCUUACCCUGGACAGAAGCAGUCUUACUCACAUCUUUAGCUCAUUAUGUAAUGAACUCCAUCAACCACCUUAAAGACCCCACGUAAUGCAUGCUGCCCUGGACAGCUGUGCCCUCCUUUCCCCGUCUGAGGGCAAGCACUAAUGCAGGAGGUGUGUUUGUGGAGAUGAGUUUGACAUCUGCCUCAUUUAGUUAUCUCUUUGGCACCGUGUUCAUUGUUACAGUACGUGCUGGAAUUAAUUCUGGUUUGCAAUACUCUUAAACAUUAUAAAAGUAUCUUAGGCCCACCAGCCAUUGCUAUGACUAUCUGAUAAACCUUUCCCCUCAGACUUUUGGAAAAUGUAGCUCUUAUUAUUUUCUUUGUGAUUUUGCUUAAUCUUUCUAUUUUGAUCUGCAGUUCAUGGGUUUAGUAAGGGGCUUUAUUGUUUGUAUUUAUGUUUAUUUCUUUCCUUCUUUGAAGUUUUAAUACUGUUUUUUAAUAGAUUUAUAUUUUUUGGACUCUGCAAUGAACUUUGAAACUUCAGAUUUUCCACCCUUCCUCAAGUUACCCAGCCAUUAAAAGAAUAUCCUUUCAGUAAAUGUUCCUUUUUCCCAUUCACCCUCUAUACAACAGGGAGAUGUUCUGAAAAACGCUCCCUUCAGUGGCAUCACAACAGUGCUGCGAGAUUUUAAUAUUGUUGUACCAGCUGAACUCAUGCCUUUUUCUACCUCCCUACACCAAAGUGAAGAGUGAAGGUUAUCUGGUUCCUUUUCUUCCCAGAUGACAAAUCAGGCAAAGUAGGGGCGGUUGGCUUUCAUACUACGUGCACUUAUUACUGCAAUCCCAAUGGCAGAGGCAAACUGCAUCCAACUGCGGUGGUUCAGCUAAUGAAAACAAAAGGACAUGCAGCAGAAGUCUCAUCUUCCUCCUG
Anas platyrhynchos (mallard) is the source of this 1214-nucleotide non-coding RNA. The record is from RefSeq and is a predicted model, not a curated record. Lineage: Eukaryota; Metazoa; Chordata; Aves; Anseriformes; Anatidae.